AACUUGGAGUAGCAACGGACAAGCUUGUAUUUGGAACUGGGAUUACUUUUUCAGUUGAGCCAGGUAAUCAAGAAGAAUCUGCCCCAGAAGUUAUUUUGCUUAAAUCAAAGGAACCUAAACAAUAUGACAACAAACUGAAUGUGGCUUGUUUGGCAAGGACUUUCUACUCUAAGAACAUCAGCCUUGAUGUGCCCAAGAGUGAAAUUGUUUAUGAUUUGAAGGCACCUCUUGUCACAUCUGCGGGGCUGUAUAGUACCAUGAAGGUAGCUGAAGUGGAACUAGAUGCAGAUGUGACCUGCAAGGCUACACACAAUGGGAAGAAGACUACAGUCAGCAUAAGAAGACUGCCAGAAAAGAAAAUUAAAGAAUUCAAAACCGUUAAUGCUUGCAACAUUGCAGAUGCCUCUACAAAAGAUCUCAAAAUGAAGAAAGUAAAUAUGCUGUUCGUGGCUGUUUUGGGUUUAAGAAUCCUGCUGGCAAAAACCAUCACCUUUAACACAAUCAUGAGUAUCAAGCUGUUUGCUAGUCCAGAAUACCUGAGGUUCUAUCAGAAAACUUCUGCUGAUUAUUUCAAGUGGCAGAGUAUAAAGUCUGGAUAA
Molecule: non-coding RNA, 599 nt
Organism: Merops nubicus (carmine bee-eater)
Lineage: Eukaryota; Metazoa; Chordata; Aves; Coraciiformes; Meropidae
Source: the annotation of a RefSeq genome assembly